This 1576-nucleotide long non-coding RNA is filed under the name Sarcophilus harrisii (Tasmanian devil). RNAcentral describes it as "lncRNA (ENSSHAG00000025839.1)". Lineage: Eukaryota; Metazoa; Chordata; Mammalia; Dasyuromorphia; Dasyuridae. The record is from RNAcentral.
CAUGUACACACAUGUAUGCAGAAUGCAUAUAUCAAAUGCAUGUGAUUGUGCAGUGUGUAGAAAUACAUGUGUACAAGUAUAUCUAUACAUCUGUGUAUAUACAUGUGUUUGUGUUUGUAUAUAUAAAUAAUGAAAAGGAAGUAUUGAGAAAUAAGUUUAGUGAAACAAAUCAGUGAAUUUUAUUGUAAAAUAAUUGACUGAGACCUGAUGGAAAGCACAUCUGAAUUGCCUUCGCUAUAUUUGUUUGCUUACCUUGAUUAAUCUCUGUGUUAACAUGCCUACUGUUUAUUAUUCAGGUGGUGGGUCUUUGAAAGAUUACUCAUCAUAAAAUGGUCUUUUUGUCCUGCUUUGAAACAAAGAUGAUGCUAAAAUAAAAAGUUUAUGGGCCAGAGAAAAGCCCCAAUCCUGCUAUAAUUAAGAUAUUCAGGAAAAAAGCAUUAAAUGAAAAAAUAAUUUGUUUUUAAAAGAGGUAUAAUGGUUAGAAUACUGGACUGAAGGAGAAAACUGGACUCAAAUUCUGCCUCUGUCACUUCCUGUCUAUGUGAUCAUUGGCAAGACAUUUACCUCCUCUGAUACCCAUCAGGACUCCCUAAGACAAUAAGUGAUAAAUGGGUUACAAUUGGCAAUAAGAUGAGAAUUCCCACUCUAAUGAAAUCAAAAGUUUUAAAAAUAUUCAGUUCAAUGAAGCCUUCAUAUUUCUUUUUGGCAUUUAGGGAGUUUAUCUAUUCUGGGCUCCUAUUCCUUACAUAUCCACGUUAUUAUUGAGGUUGGCUAUAUAUAGAGUUAUUUUUGUUUUUAAAUCACUCGACAAUCUAUUUUUUAUCAAUCUGUCCCAUAUGAGUACUAAUGAUAUUUACCAAAGGCAUUGUAAAUUUUGCCUUAUAGGUGUUCAGACUUGAAUAAAAGUGCCACCUAUCUUUCCCAAUAGAAUAUCAUAUAGAAAGCUAUAUUCAAUUUUCUUUCACCUUUUUCCUAUUAAGCCUAGUUUAUCAAUGGAAAGAAUUCAUGCUUUCCAUGACAUUAGAUAUGUCAUCAUUGAGUGUUUUCUGAAUCAUUAUUUUUGUUGGCUAAAGAAAUGAUUAUGGUCUUGAACCAAGUGACUGAUACAUGGCUAUUUCCUUGGCUAACCUCUCCAACACCUCAAAAAGGGGAGAAAGGUGGGGUGGUUGGGAAGAAAUUAAUUGAUACUUUAACUCCUCCCAUUAGUGAAGAAGUCUUUUAUUCUGAUCUUGUAUCUCAGGAUAUUCUUUAGUUCAAUAUUGCUGCUGAGGAGGAUGGGACAAUGCUCCUUUUUCCAAACCUCAAACUGAUUUCUCAGUGCGUAUGUUAAAUAUACUAAGAGUCACAUUGUGUGUUUUUUCAUCAUUAUGUUUACUCUGUGAACUGGUUCAAAAAACAAUUUGAUGUUAGAAAGGAAAAAACAAAAUUCAGGCAAGACAGCCACUUCUUUCUGGCAAAGUACUUACUAUCGUCACUUUUAUAGUGACAGUUUGCAAAAUAAUUUUGCAUUAAGUAUCAAGAUCAAGGUAUCCUUAAAGUGGUGUGUGUGUUGAUUUCAUAAAGAAACUGUUAAACC